This 2146-nucleotide long non-coding RNA is filed under the name Homo sapiens (human). Its description in RNAcentral is "HSALNT0278791". Lineage: Eukaryota; Metazoa; Chordata; Mammalia; Primates; Hominidae. The record is from RNAcentral.
GCCCUGGUAGAUAUGGAGACCCUGACCAUGAUGUCAAGGGUCCACGUGGCCAGUACUGCGCAUGACAAGCUGGAUUCUAUCACAACUUUCCAGGUGCUGCAGCAGUUCACCAGAGCACGGAAGUGGCACAUCCGGGACUGAGAACUGGCAAGGCCAGAGGGCAGAAGCAAGUCACACAAGCCAGUGGCCCAAAAUCACGUCAUCUACCUCCGUUGCACUGAGCUAAAACCAUGCCCAGGAACUGGCGUCCCAAAUCUAAACAGUGAGGCUUGAGAAGCGGGCUGGAUUCCACGGUGCGCAAGUGUGCAGAGGACAUAAGCCGAGAAGAGGCCCUUGGAGAGGACAGAAAUAACAACAUCGUAGGCAGACAGUUGUGGGUUCUGCCAGUCACGCUUUCGCACAAGUCACAGCACUCAGCCUCAGUAAGCAGAGGAAAAUAACAGAAAACAAAGUUGGAAAGCAUGGCUGAGGAGAGGGAGAUAAACCGAGAUAAAUCGUGAAGAGUGGUUGAAAUAAGCUACCGACAGGCUUGACCCGCAGCAGGUGCCUGAUUCUGCUGGUUCCCAGUCCAGCCCCAGCUCAGGUGCACAAGGCGUCCGGGGGACUGCCAGCACUGCACAGCCCUUUCCAUACCUCCUGGAUGGUGACCUUUACCUCCGUUCCACCGUGGCCACCCAUACCCUGGGCCUUUGUCAUCUCUCGAAGGUUCCAACUGCACUCUGAAAUCCCACUCCCUGACUGCAGCUUCCAAAGCUGCCAGGAAACUGCCAGCUUCCAGGCCAGCCACUCAACAGCCUCCAAGACUCACUUUCCUCAUCUAUAAAAUGGGGUUUCUAAUAUCUGCUUUGCCCAGCACACAGAGCUGCUGGGAGAAUCAAAUAUGAUUAUGUAUAUGAAGAUACUUCACGAAUGAUGACAUUCUAGUAAGCUAGCAAAUAGUUGUCCCAGCCAUACCCACUGCCAAAUGGGCCACUCAGGAGAUCCAAGGAGAUCACUCUGCCGCGAAUGCUAUUUUAUUCAUAUCAUUCAGGACCUUCAUGGUGGAGGCUUGUUGACAUUGGCUUGUGGUUGAGAGGAGCUCCGGAGUCAAGCCGUCUGUGUCCAGAUCCCUGCCUCAAGUGCUACCAGCCAUGUGAGCUGAGUGCAUUAUAUAACUUCAGCAUGACUCAGCGUCCACUUCUGAAAGAUGGGAUGGACGAUGGUGACAGGGUCAUCCCAUUGGGUCAUUGUGAGCAUUCAACGAGAGGGCAUAGGACAGUGGCUGCAAAAUUCACCAGACUCAGAAAACUGCCCUGCCCCGUGACUUCCAUCUGCUCCUCUCCUGAUAAUUGUAAAAGCCAAUGAAGAUUGUGCUUCUUAACUACACAUCAGCCGGCUGAUUGUAAGUGUUGGGAAUAUAAUUAGGGGUACACGGCUCUGACCCUCACUCUUCGUAGGUUUAACAAGAUUGGACUUACGCAAUGGCAAGAAGGAAACCGAGAUUGAAAAUGACCAAUUUUGCUGGUUGAGAGGCGUCUUGUUUUCUGGAAGAAACUGAGAAUCUGCAGUUGUAGACUGGGAAUGCUAGAACCUCUGGAGUGGCAUCAACUCGAUCGGGGGCCAAAACCAUGAGAAAGCACCAAUAUUUUCCACCGUUUUUAACCAAACUCGGCUGUUGUUGGUCUAAAACCUGCCCUGGGUUUUGAGGGAGCGGUGCUUUUGUGAGCCCAGCUUGCCUUGAGUGCAUGGAUGGGAACCUGAAACCAGCCAGUCUUGCCUCCCACCCUCUCAACUUUUCCAGUAAAAAAUGUGACGGGCACUUUUUUUCCAGUAAAACUGUUCCCCCAGCAGGACAGCCUAUAUGCAGCUAGGUUCCUGGCAAAUGAGCAGGGAAUAAUAGCUGGCUAGAGGUGGGCGGGACUGAAAUACAGCUGUCCACCUCUCCGGAAAACAUCACCCAGGGUUCUCCCCAUCCCCAUCUGACCUUCCAGCCACUAAACAAAUAAAUAAGGCCUUAGAAGCUCCUAGAGUCAACCACAGCCUCAGCUUCUAAACCGAGGCUGUGAUUCUACGAAACUCACCUCACAUCUGUGUCAUCUUUGAAAGACUCCAAUGGCUGGAUUGGUUUGAUCCUAUUCCGAAGGGCUUAUAAAGAAGAAUCCAGCCG